UACGGAGGGUGCGAGCGUUGUCCGGAAUCACUGGGCGUAAAGGGCGCGUAGGCGGCAUGCCAAGCGUGUGGUGAAAGCCCGGGGCUCAACCCCGGGUCGGCCGUGCGGACUGGCGUGCUCGAGCACUGUAGGGGCGGGUGGAAUUCCGGGUGUAGCGGUGGAAUGCGUAGAGAUCCGGAAGAACACCGGUGGCGAAGGCGGCCCGCUGGGCAGGAAGAUCCCGUAAGGGGUCGGCUGACGCUGAGGCGCGACAGCGUGGGGAGCAAACAGG
This 271-nucleotide ribosomal RNA is filed under the name uncultured bacterium. RNAcentral describes it as "partial 16S ribosomal RNA". It matches the Rfam family "Bacterial small subunit ribosomal RNA", at positions 524 to 776 of the family's 1533-position model. The record is from RNAcentral.